GAUGGACGCUGGCGGCGUGCCUAAUACAUGCCAGUCGAGCGAACAGACGAGGAGCUUGCUCCUCUGACGUUAGCGGCGGACGGGUGAGUAACACGUGGAUAACCUACCUAUAAGACUGGGAUAACUUCGGGAAACCGGAGCUAAUACCGGAUAAUAUAUUGAACCGCAUGGUUCAAUAGUGAAAGACGGUUUUGCUGUCACUUAUAGAUGGAUCCGCGCCGCAUUAGCUAGUUGGUAAGGUAACGGCUUACCAAGGCAACGAUGCGUAGCCGACCUGAGAGGGUGAUCGGCCACACUGGAACUGAGACACGGUCCAGACUCCUACGGGAGGCAGCAGUAGGGAAUCUUCCGCAAUGGGCGAAAGCUUGACGGAGCAACGCCGCGUGAGUGAUGAAGGUCUUCGGAUCGUAAAACUCUGUUAUUAGGGAAGAACAAAUGUGUAAGUAACUAUGCACGUCUUGACGGUACCUAAUCAGAAAGCCACGGCUAACUACGUG
Molecule: ribosomal RNA, 497 nt
Filed under: uncultured bacterium
Lineage: Bacteria
Description: partial 16S ribosomal RNA
Rfam family: Bacterial small subunit ribosomal RNA
Source: RNAcentral